RNAcentral lists this ribosomal RNA (492 nucleotides) under uncultured bacterium. RNAcentral's name for it is "partial 16S ribosomal RNA". It matches the Rfam family "Bacterial small subunit ribosomal RNA", at positions 29 to 507 of the family's 1533-position model. The record is from RNAcentral.
AGUGAACGCUGGCGGUAGGCCUAACACAUGCAAGUCGAACGGCAGCACAGUAAUAGCUUGCUCUUACGGGUGGCGAGUGGCGGACGGGUGAGGAAUACAUCGGAAUCUACUUUUUCGUGGGGGAUCACGUAGGGAAACUUACGCUAAUACCGCAUACGACCUACGGUUGAAAGCAGUGGAUCUUCGGACCUUGCGCGAUUGAAUGCGCCGAUGUCGGAUUAGCUAGUUGGCGGGGUAAAGGCCCACCAAGGCGACGAUCCGUAGCUGGUCUGAGAGGAUGAUCAGCCACACUGGAACUGAGACACGGGCAAGAGUACUACGGGAGGCAGCAGUGGGGAAUAUGGGACAAUGGGCGCAAGCAUGAUCCAGCCAGACCGAGUGGGUGAAGAAGGCCUUCGGGUUGUAAAGCCCUUUUGUUGGGAAAGAAAAGCAGCAGGUUAAGACCCCGCUGUUCUGACGGUACCCAAAGAAUAAGCACCGGCUAACUUCGUG